AUAUUGGUCAAUGGGCGCAAGCCUGAACCAGCCAUGCCGCGUGCAGGAAGACGGCCCUAUGGGUUGUAAACUGCUUUUAUUCGGGAAUAAACCUCUUUACGUGUAAGGAGCUGAAUGUACCGAAGGAAUAAGGAUCGGCUAACUCCGUGCCAGCAGCCGCGGUAAUACGGAGGAUCCAAGCGUUAUCCGGAUUUAUUGGGUUUAAAGGGUGCGUAGGCGGCUUAUUAAGUCAGGGGUGAAAGACGGUGGCUCAACCAUCGCAGUGCCUUUGAUACUGAUGAGCUUGAAUGAACUUGAGGUAGGCGGAAUGUGACAAGUAGCGGUGAAAUGCAUAGAUAUGUCACAGAACACCAAUUGCGAAGGCAGCUUACUAAAGUUUAAUUGACGCUGAGGCACGAAAGCGUGGGGAUCAAACAGG
This 418-nucleotide ribosomal RNA is filed under the name uncultured bacterium. RNAcentral's name for it is "bacterial SSU rRNA". It matches the Rfam family "Bacterial small subunit ribosomal RNA", at positions 361 to 776 of the family's 1533-position model. The record is from RNAcentral.